Long non-coding RNA from Alligator mississippiensis (American alligator), 1302 nucleotides. RefSeq lists it as uncharacterized. The record is from RefSeq and is a predicted model, not a curated record. The transcript has 2 exons. Lineage: Eukaryota; Metazoa; Chordata; Crocodylia; Alligatoridae.
AGCGGCGUGUGCCCUUCGCCGCGGCCAGGGACGGCCUGUGGACAGGGUCCUGCAGGGCGAGGUGGCCAGGAGGGUUGUGCUGCAAGGGGUGACCAGGUGCCUGGCCUCUCUGCCCCUUCACGUGGGAGGACGGGUGAGGGUGCCAGGCCUGGGGGAUGCCCGGGCUCUGCUCCUUGGGUCAGCGCUGCAGACCGGAGGGAAGGGGUCCAGCUCUCUGCAGCUCUGCAGGGCACGGGAGCUGGUGGAGCACGGCCAAGGGGCAGCUCCUUUGCAGUGGAGAGGGACACCCCCGAGCCGUGGGGGUUCCCCAUGCCAGACAUGGCCCCCAAGUGCUAAGUCUCUCAAAUCUCCCCCAUCGCUGAGCACCCACCCUCUUAGCUCUGCUCACAGGGUUUCCCUCGUGACUCCGGCCUCCCGUGCCUGUUCGCGUUACGCCUGUCCUCCCUCUGGGAGCGCCUCCUCCGCUGGGAUCAAAGGCAGCCUGGGGUAAGGUCAUUCCAGUCAGCGAGUGCGAGUGCCUGGGAGUGGGAGCAGAGCCACGCGGCUGUGUUUUGGAGGGGAGGGCUUGCUCUGCGGCUGCACUGCACAUUCCUCACGCAGCUGCAGAUCCUCCGACUUGCAGAACAGCACAUUUGAGACGACAAGAAUGGGACAAUUAUAAGCCUGGCAUGACUCGAACCCAAUGAAGGCAAAUAAAACUCCACUGAAAACAAACUGGGACGACGUGGACUCACGUCCCAUUCUCCCAUUGCUGGCUGGCAUGGCGGUCCCGCUUGUUGGGGCCGGGGGAGGUGGUUAGGACUGAGGGGGUUGACUUGAACGUCGGGUGGAGGAAGGCUUUCGGUCCUCGAGCGGCUGACAUGCUGUGGGUCACGACUGAAGCUCAGGUCUCGUUUUCUUCUCCAUGUCCGAUCCUGGCAGCCUGGCUGGCACGUCCGCUGGCACCGCGAGCGAGGGCCAGCUCCUGCUCACGUUGCUUUCUUACGGCUGCCCAACACCCAGGCCUCCAAGUGCGCUCGUGACUUCAGUCCUCUCUGGGGUGGGCCAUGUCCGACGUGUGAAGAAGCCAAACAAAGUUGGCCCCCAAACGCCCCUGCAGUCACCUCAUCUCUGGGCAAAUAAUCACCUGGGAAGGGGAAGCCAGAGGCAUUUUCAGCGAGACCUAAACCUUGUGCUGGUGGAGCUGCCGAUGCGGGCGCCAAGCCGUGAAGAGGUGGCGCCGGUAGCAGUCUUAGGGGAGGGCAAACCGGGCGACUGCCCAGGACCCUGCACUUUAUAAAAAUAAAAAUGAAUUACAGUGAA